RNAcentral lists this ribosomal RNA (403 nucleotides) under Streptococcus mutans. Its description in RNAcentral is "bacterial SSU rRNA". It matches the Rfam family "Bacterial small subunit ribosomal RNA", at positions 28 to 413 of the family's 1533-position model. Lineage: Bacteria; Bacillati; Bacillota; Bacilli; Lactobacillales; Streptococcaceae. The record is from RNAcentral.
GACGAACGCUGGCGGCGUGCCUAAUACAUGCAAGUGGGACGCAAGAGAACACACUGUGCUUGCACACCGUGUUUUCUUGAGUCGCGAACGGGUGAGUAACGCGUAGGUAACCUACCUAUUAGCGGGGGAUAACUAUUGGAAACGAUAGCUAAUACCGCAUAAUAUUAAUUAUUGCAUGAUAAUUGAUUGAAAGAUGCAAGCGCAUCACUAGUAGAUGGACCUGCGUUGUAUUAGCUAGUUGGUAAGGUAAGAGCUUACCAAGGCGACGAUACAUAGCCGACCUGAGAGGGUGAUCGGCCACACUGGGACUGAGACACGGCCCAGACUCCUACGGGAGGCAGCAGUAGGGAAUCUUCGGCAAUGGACGAAAGUCUGACCGAGCAACGCCGCGUGAGUGAAGAAG